Camellia sinensis is the source of this 971-nucleotide non-coding RNA. Lineage: Eukaryota; Viridiplantae; Streptophyta; Magnoliopsida; Ericales; Theaceae. The record is from RefSeq and is a predicted model, not a curated record.
ACUCUCCUCUUCCUUUCUUCUUUUUCUUUUCGUUUUCCCGCUCUAUCUGAAUUCCUCCCUCUUUCUUUCCCUCGUUUUGUUUCUCAUAACCUCCAAUCCCCAAUCCCUAAUCUCCUAAACAAAAAAAUCCUGAAUUUUCAUACUAUCUCUCUCUCUCACGAUUGUAAGUAGCGGCAGUGGGAAAGUGAAAGGAAUAGUGGUGGUGUUCGCAUGGAUGUUGAGUCUAGAGAGGCAUUUGAACAACUGCGUCUAGCUCUACUCUCCUCUCGACUGGAAUUCCUUCUCUCAAAUUGCGUUACGGUCUAAUUUGUUGAGCCGUGAAUCGAUAAGGCAAGCUAACAUUUCUUCUAGGGCUAGGCCAAUUGCGACGCCUAAUGAUUUGCCCUAUUACAUUGGGUUUCCGAAGAUUCUUACGAUUCGUUGAAGAAUCCCAAUGGUAUCAUUAAGCUCAGAUUAUUAGAAAAUAGGCUAUCACUGGAUUUGAUUGAGAAGUGGUUUUCGCAAAAUUUCAAUGAUUCUAUACUUAAAAGAGGAGGAAGUAAGGGUUUGAGUAUUAGUGGAAUUGCAACAUACCAACUAUUCGAUGGAAUUCCAAAACUAAACGAGGACAAGAACUUCAAUAGUAUGCCAAAGCGUCAAAAAAGUCUCAAAAGCAUCGGUUUAGUAAAACACAAGAGACCAACAGAGGUUGAGCAUUCCAUGAAAGUUGCACGAACCAAAACAGGAAGUUGAAGAUCCAAAGGCUAUUGCUAUAUUCAGGGAACAACUCAACCACUUACAGGCAAUCUUUUUUUUCUCUAUGAGCUGUUAUUGAUGCCAAAUUUGUAUGACUCUCAUUCUACAAGUACUUUUGCAUUUUUUAGAAAGUAGAACGUUAUCGGAUUUGUUUUAGUAAAUCUGUAAUACAUGGAUAGGGCCUAUUUGCAUGUCAGAAUAUUCAAGAAUAUUUGGAAAAAGUCUAUUUCUUUGUA